GUCCUAGCCGUAAACGUUGGAUGCUAGGUGUGGGCGGACAUUGACCCCGUCUGUGCCGGAGCUAACGCAUUAAGCAUCCCGCCUGGGGAGUACGGCCGCAAGGCUAAAACUCAAAGGAAUUGACGGGGGCCCGCACAAGCGGCGGAGCAUGUGGCUUAAUUCGACGCAACGCGAAGAACCUUACCUGGGUUUGACAUGCGGGGUGAACGCGUGGAAACACGCUGCUCUUCGGAGCCCGCACAGGUGGUGCAUGGCUGUCGU
RNAcentral lists this ribosomal RNA (261 nucleotides) under uncultured bacterium. RNAcentral's name for it is "partial 16S ribosomal RNA". It matches the Rfam family "Bacterial small subunit ribosomal RNA", at positions 793 to 1055 of the family's 1533-position model. The record is from RNAcentral.